RNAcentral lists this long non-coding RNA (1280 nucleotides) under Homo sapiens (human). RNAcentral describes it as "non-protein coding lnc-CEP44-1:5". Lineage: Eukaryota; Metazoa; Chordata; Mammalia; Primates; Hominidae. The record is from RNAcentral.
GACUGUGUCACCUGCCCCCUGAGCGUUCUGGAGCGCCAAGCUUCGCGAUCUUUGCCUUCCGGACUCGCAGACCGGCUCAAAGCCUCCCCUCAGCCUCUGGCUCCGUGAUUGGCAGGCAGCUGACAGAAGAAAAGUUAAAAGGUUAUUUCUGAAGAAGAGUUUCCUUCAGUGCCCUAAAGACCAACUGGAUAGAAGGAGAGCGGAGCAGAGGCUUGGAAGCUUGGAUCCCUCCUCCUGCACUCCCUCCCGGCCCCGACUCCGGAACAAAACAAGCAAACAAUAAAGCAAACUUGUUGCUCUUUUGUCUCAAAGUUUUGUGUGAGUUCCCAUCUCGUAAUCAGUGGGGUUGAGGGUGACGGGGAGCAGAAGUAACUAAUAUCAUUGUGUUUUCUUAGUUACAUUUUGGACAAAUUUUUACGGAUACUGGAGAUGAGAAGUGGACUCUGCUCUGUCCUGAAAACCUGGAAUCAUAACAUUUCAUGGCUAGGACUAGAGUGUCCUUGGCGCUGUGUUUCUGGUCAGUGUCAAUUGUGUGUCAUAUUGAGAUGCCCCCACAAAAACUGUCAUCAUCAACAGGCGCUCCAGAGCCGCUGGUAGCCUACCAAAUUGUUGGCUCAAUGGAAUGCUUACUUGUUGAAAUACACCAACUUUGGAAGCUCUGAGUCAAGUUUGGGACAGAGGUUCCUUGCUCUCCAGGAACUCCAGGGCUAGCUGUAUGCGGACUUGCAUAAAUAACAAGGGCUAUUCCACUGACUUUGUCUCUUUUUCUCAGGUUGUCAGCGGCAGGCUGCAAUUUUAAUUCUGUAAACGAUCUAGGAUGUUGGGAAGGAACAAAGAAAUUCAGGCAUCUCUCCUGAGAAGAGAAAGGGAGUAGAAUGCUCCAUCAUGAUGCUAACCACAAGAAUUGACUUGACGGGACAGAAUCAAGGGGAAGAACGUCAGUGAAACUUCUGGUGACAAUCACCCACUUAGGUCUUUAUUUUCCAUUUUUGCAUUUGUCAUACUUUUCAUAGUAAUGAAAACAAAUAUGUUGUGUAUAAUACUGGAUGUCAGCCUAUACAUUUGGUUUUUAAAUUUGGGGAAGGAAACUUCUUUCCACUCGAUUGAGCAGUUUCAUCUUUGCAAUGUAUUUAUUCUUUCUGAACUUUUGGGUAGUGUCCUCGUAUUAGUCUGUUUUCAUGCUGUUGAUAAAGACAUACCCAAGACUGGGUAAUUUAUACAGAAAAAGAGGUUUAAUGGGCUCACAGUUCCACAUGGCUGGGGAAGCCUCACAAUCAUGG